Molecule: non-coding RNA, 406 nt
Organism: Paenibacillus popilliae ATCC 14706
Lineage: Bacteria; Bacillati; Bacillota; Bacilli; Caryophanales; Paenibacillaceae
Rfam family: Bacterial RNase P class A
About the family: Ribonuclease P (RNase P) is a ubiquitous endoribonuclease, found in archaea, bacteria and eukarya as well as chloroplasts and mitochondria. Its best characterised activity is the generation of mature 5'-ends of tRNAs by cleaving the 5'-leader elements of precursor-tRNAs. Cellular RNase Ps are ribonucleoproteins.
Source: Rfam
AAAGUUUGACAGACAAUCGCUGGUGACUUGUGUCACGAGAGGAAAGUCCGGGCUCCAUAGGGCAAGGAUGCUGGAUAACGUCCAGUCAGCGCAAGCUGAAGGAUAGUGCCACAGAAAUGGACCGCCGAUGGCCGUCUUUAUGACGGCACAGGCAAGGGUGGAACCGUGGUGUAAGAGACCACGAGGAACGCUGGUGACUUCGUUCCUGGUAAACCCCAUCUGGAGCAAGACCUAAUGGGACGCACGCCUGUCUAUACAGGCAUCUCGGCCCGAGAUGCGUCUGGGUUGGUCGCUUGAGCGGUGCAGCAAUGCACAGCCUAGAUAGAUGAUUGUCGCUUAGUAGUGGAAGGGUUGCCCCCGUGAUACCACGAUGAGUACAGAACCCGGCUUAUGGCAAGCUUUCCGA